This 253-nucleotide ribosomal RNA is filed under the name uncultured bacterium. Its description in RNAcentral is "partial 16S ribosomal RNA". It matches the Rfam family "Bacterial small subunit ribosomal RNA", at positions 524 to 776 of the family's 1533-position model. The record is from RNAcentral.
UACGGGGGGGGCUAGCGUUGUUCGGAAUUACUGGGCGUAAAGGGUUCGUAGGCGGCCACUUAAGUCAGACGUGAAAUCCCUCGGCUUAACCGGGGAACUGCGUCUGAUACUGGAUGGCUUGAGUUUGGGAGAGGGACGCGGAAUUCCAGGUGUAGCGGUGAAAUGCGUAGAUAUCUGGAGGAACACCGGUGGCGAAGGCGGCGUCCUGGACAAACACUGACACUGAGGAGCGAAAGCCAGGGGAGCAAACGGG